CAGUCGCCGCGGGAAUACGUAGGGUGCAAGCGUUAAUCGGAAUUACUGGGCGUAAAGCGUGCGCAGGCGGUUCGGAAAGAAAGAUGUGAAAUCCCAGGGCUUAACCUUGGAACUGCAUUUUUAACUCCCGGACUAGAGUAUGUCAGAGGGGGGUGGAAUUCCACGUGUAGCAGUGAAAUGCGUAGAUAUGUGGAGGAACACCGAUGGCGAAGGCAGCCCCCUGGGAUAAUACUGACGCUCAUGCACGAAAGCGUGGGGAGCAAACAGGAUUAGAUACCCGCGUAGUCCCUGUCUCUUAUAC
RNAcentral lists this ribosomal RNA (301 nucleotides) under uncultured bacterium. RNAcentral describes it as "partial 16S ribosomal RNA". It matches the Rfam family "Bacterial small subunit ribosomal RNA", at positions 509 to 807 of the family's 1533-position model. The record is from RNAcentral.